RNAcentral lists this ribosomal RNA (403 nucleotides) under uncultured bacterium. RNAcentral's name for it is "partial 16S ribosomal RNA". It matches the Rfam family "Bacterial small subunit ribosomal RNA", at positions 28 to 526 of the family's 1533-position model. The record is from RNAcentral.
GACGAACGCUGGCGGCGUGCCUAAUACAUGCAAGUCGAACGCAGUGGGGACGGGUGAUUAACACGUGGCUAACCUCCCAUCAGAGGGGAUAACACUUGGAAACAGGUGCUAAACCGAUACUGAUUGAUGGACCCGCGGUGCAUUAGGCAGUUGGUGGGGUAACGGCUCACCAAGGCCACGAUGCAGAGCCGGCCUGAGAGGGUGAUCGGCCACACUGGGACUGAGACACGGCCCAGACUCCUACGGGAGGCAGCAGUAGGGAAUAUGGGGCAAUGGGCGAAAGCCUGACCGAGCAACGCCGCGUGAGUGAAGAAGGUCUUCGGGUCGUAAAGCACUGUUGUUAGAGAGGCGGUAUCUAACGAGGAAGCAACGGCUAACUACGUGCCAGCAGCCGCGGUAAUUC